Molecule: ribosomal RNA, 547 nt
Filed under: uncultured bacterium
Lineage: Bacteria
Description: bacterial SSU rRNA
Rfam family: Bacterial small subunit ribosomal RNA
Source: RNAcentral
UAGGGAAUCUUCGGCAAUGGACGGAAGUCUGACCGAGCAACGCCGCGUGAGUGAAGAAGGUUUUCGGAUCGUAAAGCUCUGUUGUAAGAGAAGAACGAGUGUGAGAGUGGAAAGUUCACACUGUGACGGUAUCUUACCAGAAAGGGACGGCUAACUACGUGCCAGCAGCCGCGGUAAUACGUAGGUCCCGAGCGUUGUCCGGAUUUAUUGGGCGUAAAGCGAGCGCAGGCGGUUAGAUAAGUCUGAAGUUAAAGGCUGUGGCUUAACCAUAGUAGGCUUUGGAAACUGUUUAACUUGAGUGCAAGAGGGGAGAGUGGAAUUCCAUGUGUAGCGGUGAAAUGCGUAGAUAUAUGGAGGAACACCGGUGGCGAAAGCGGCUCUCUGGCUUGUAACUGACGCUGAGGCUCGAAAGCGUGGGGAGCAAACAGGAUUAGAUACCCUGGUAGUCCACGCUGUAAACGAUGAGUGCUAGGUGUUAGACCCUUUCCGGGGUUUAGUGCCGUAGCUAACGCAUUAACACUCCGCCUGGGGAGUACGACCGCAAGGU